ANAGUUUGAUUCUGGCUCAGAACGAACGCUGGCGGCGUGCUUAAUACAUGCAAGUCGAACGAGAAAAUCCGGCUUCGGUUGGAUGAGUAAAGUGGCGAACGGGUGAGUAACACGUGGACAAUCUGCCCUUAAGUCCGGGAUAAUCUUCCGAAAGGAGGUCUAAUACCGGAUGUGACCGCAACCUGGCAUCGGGAGGCGGUUAAAGGCGGGGCAACCUGCCGCUUAUGGAUGAGUCCGCGCCCCAUUAGCUUGUUGGUAGGGUAACGGCCUACCAAGGCGACGAUGGGUAGCCGGCCUGAGAGGGUGACCGGCCACACUGGGACUGAGAUACGGCCCAGACUCCUACGGGAGGCAGCAGUAGGGAAUAUUGCGCAAUGGACGAAAGUCUGACGCAGCAACGCCGCGUGGGUGAUGAAGCAUUUUGGUGUGUAAAACCCUGUCAGUGGGGAAGAAACGUAAAGAGAGUAACUGCUCUUUGCCUGACGGUACCCACAGAGGAAGUCCCGGCUAACUCCGUGCCAGCAGCCGCGGUAAUACGGGGGGGACUAGCGUUGUUCGGAUUUACUGGGCGUAAAGGGCGUGUAGGCGGGCCUUCAAGUCGGAUGUGAAAACCGGUGGCUUAACCACCGGCCUGCAUUCGAUACUGUUGGUCUUGAGUACGAGAGAGGAAAGCGGAAUUCCAGGUGUAGCGGUGAAAUGCGUAGAUAUCUGGAAGAACACCAGUAGCGAAGGCGGCUUUCUGGCUCGAUACUGACGCUGAAGCGCGAAGGCUAGGGGAGCAAACAGGAUUAGAUACCCUGGUAGUCCUAGCGGUAAACGAUGGG
RNAcentral lists this ribosomal RNA (824 nucleotides) under uncultured delta proteobacterium. RNAcentral's name for it is "bacterial SSU rRNA". It matches the Rfam family "Bacterial small subunit ribosomal RNA", at positions 8 to 813 of the family's 1533-position model. Lineage: Bacteria; Deltaproteobacteria. The record is from RNAcentral.